UCAUAAUCAUUAGUCUCUAACUCUGUGAAAUCAACUGACACUAGAUCUGACUCAUCUAUAGAAAUUUCAGGAGGCAAGAAAGAAAGGAGAAAUGCUUGACGCUUGGUUGCCAUUGCAA
Amphimedon queenslandica is the source of this 118-nucleotide long non-coding RNA. RefSeq lists it as uncharacterized. The record is from RefSeq and is a predicted model, not a curated record. The transcript has 2 exons. Lineage: Eukaryota; Metazoa; Porifera; Demospongiae; Haplosclerida; Niphatidae.